RNAcentral lists this ribosomal RNA (425 nucleotides) under uncultured bacterium. Its description in RNAcentral is "bacterial SSU rRNA". It matches the Rfam family "Bacterial small subunit ribosomal RNA", at positions 954 to 1380 of the family's 1533-position model. The record is from RNAcentral.
GCUUAACGCGAAGAACCUUACCAAGGCUUGACAUCACCCGAAAACCUGCAGAGAUGCGGGGUCCUUUUUGGGCGGGUGACAGGUGGUGCAUGGCUGUCGUCAGCUCGUGUCGUGAGAUGUUGGGUUAAGUCCCGCAACGAGCGCAACCCUCGUUCCAUGUUGCCAGCACGUGAUGGUGGGACUCAUGGGAGACCGCCGGGGUCAACUCGGAGGAAGGUGGGGAUGACGUCAAGUCAUCAUGCCCCUUAUGUCUUGGGCUUCACGCAUGCUACAACGGCCGGUACAAAGGGCUGCAAUACCGCAAGGUGGAGCGAAUCCCAAAAAGCCGGUCUCAGUUCGGAUUGAGGUCUGCAACUCGACCUCAUGAAGUCGGAGUCGCUAGUAAUCGUGGAUCAGCAACGCCACGGUGAAUACGUUCCCGGGUC